This 28-nucleotide small RNA is filed under the name Bombyx mori (domestic silkworm). Its description in RNAcentral is "ovarian small RNA-19116". Lineage: Eukaryota; Metazoa; Arthropoda; Insecta; Lepidoptera; Bombycidae. The record is from RNAcentral.
UAAGAAGAGCAUUAACAAUGUGAAGUCA